AUAUCCCAAGAUGCUCUUAUCUGGUUCUCUCAGGUGCAUUUACUCUGAAAAAUUAGAGUGUUCGCAGCAGGCCAGUUGCCGGAAUACUUCAGCUAGGAAUAAUGGAAUAGGACUUCGGUUCUAUGUUGUUGGUUUUUGGAACUGGAGCCAUAAUUAAGAGGGACAGUCAGGGAUGUUCGUAUUGUGGAGGUAUAGGUG
This is a long non-coding RNA of Varanus komodoensis (Komodo dragon), 198 nucleotides long. RefSeq lists it as uncharacterized. The record is from RefSeq and is a predicted model, not a curated record. NCBI's taxonomy places the organism in Eukaryota, Metazoa, Chordata, Lepidosauria, Squamata, Varanidae. The transcript has 3 exons.